This 490-nucleotide ribosomal RNA is filed under the name uncultured bacterium. RNAcentral's name for it is "partial 16S ribosomal RNA". It matches the Rfam family "Bacterial small subunit ribosomal RNA", at positions 30 to 507 of the family's 1533-position model. The record is from RNAcentral.
AUUGAACGCUGGCGGCAGGCCUAACACAUGCAAGUCGAACGGUAACAGAAAGCAGCUUGCUGCUUUGCUGACGAGUGGCGGACGGGUGAGUAAUGUCUGGGAAACUGCCUGAUGGAGGGGGAUAACUACUGGAAACGGUAGCUAAUACCGCAUAACGUCGCAAGACCAAAGAGGGGGACCUUCGGGCCUCUUGCCAUCGGAUGUGCCCAGAUGGGAUUAGCUAGUAGGUGGGGUAACGGCUCACCUAGGCGACGAUCCCUAGCUGGUCUGAGAGGAUGACCAGCCACACUGGAACUGAGACACGGUCCAGACUCCUGCGGGAGGCAGCAGUGGGGAAUAUUGCACAAUGGGCGCAAGACUGAUGCAGCCAUGCCGAGUGUAUGAAGAAGGCCUUCGGGUUGUAAAGUACUUUCAGCGGGGAGGAAGGGAGUAAAGUUAAUACCUUUGCUCACUGACGUUACCCGCAGAAGAAGCACCGGCUAACUCCGUG